AAAACGUAGGAGGCGAGCGUUAUCCGGAGUUACUGGGCGUAAAGCGCGUGUAGGCGGUGGGGCAAGUCAGGCGUGAAAGCUGUCGGCUAAACUGGCAGAGGACGUCUGAUACUGCUCGACUAGAGGACGGUAGAGGGGCGUGGAAUUCCGGGUGUAGCGGUGAAAUGCGCAGAUAUCCGGAGGAACACCAGUGGCGAAGGCGGCGCCCUGGGCCGUACCUGACGCUGAGACGCGAAAGCGUGGGGAGCGAACGGGAUUAGAGACCCCGGUAGUCCACGCAGUAAACGAUGCAUACUAGGCGUUCGUGGCGGGAAAACCGCUGGGAGUGCCGGAGCCAACGCGCUAAGUAUGCCGCCUGGGGAGUACGGUCGCAAGGCU
This 378-nucleotide ribosomal RNA is filed under the name uncultured Chloroflexota bacterium. RNAcentral describes it as "bacterial SSU rRNA". It matches the Rfam family "Bacterial small subunit ribosomal RNA", at positions 522 to 895 of the family's 1533-position model. The record is from RNAcentral. Lineage: Bacteria; Bacillati; Chloroflexota.